GAUGAAGAACGUAGCGAAAUGCGAUACUUGGUGUGAAUUGCAGAAUCCCGUGAACCAUCGAGUCUUUGAACGCAAGUUGCGCCCGAAGCCAUUAGGCCGAGGGCACGCCUGCCUGGGCGUCACACGUCGUUGCCCCCCCCAUCUACUCCUUCGGGAUUGCGGGGGGCGGAUGAUGGCCUCCCGUGCGCCUCGCCGCGCGGUUGGCAUUAAUGCCAAGUCCUCGGCGACGCACGCCACGACAAUCGGUGGUUGCGAAACCUCGGUUGCCCGUCGUGUGCGGUCGUCGCGCAUCGAGGGCUCGAAAAAAUUGCCGAGUUCCGGCUCGGCUUUCAACGCGACCCCAGGUCAGGCGGGGUUACCCGCUGAAUUUAAGCAUAUCAAUAAGCGGAGGA
Molecule: unclassified non-coding RNA, 392 nt
Filed under: soil metagenome
Description: partial contains 5.8S ribosomal RNA, internal transcribed spacer 2, and large subunit ribosomal RNA
Rfam family: 5.8S ribosomal RNA (bases 1-122)
Source: RNAcentral